Molecule: ribosomal RNA, 489 nt
Filed under: uncultured bacterium
Lineage: Bacteria
Description: partial 16S ribosomal RNA
Rfam family: Bacterial small subunit ribosomal RNA
Source: RNAcentral
AAUGAACGCUGGCGGCAUGCCUUACACAUGCAAGUCGAACGGCAGCAUGACCUAGCUUGCUAGGUUGAUGGCGAGUGGCGAACGGGUGAGUAAUGCAUCGGAACGUGCCUUUUAGUGGGGGAUAACGUAGCGAAAGUUACGCUAAUACCGCAUAUUCUCUGAGGAGGAAAGCAGGGGACCUUCGGGCCUUGCGCUAGAAGAGCGGCCGAUGUCGGAUUAGCUAGUUGGUGAGGUAAAGGCUCACCAAGGCAACGAUCCGUAGCGGGUCUGAGAGGAUGAUCCGCCACACUGGGACUGAGACACGGCCCAGACUCCUACGGGAGGCAGCAGUGGGGAAUUUUGGACAAUGGGCGCAAGCCUGAUCCAGCCAUGCCGCGUGAGUGAAGAAGGCCUUCGGGUUGUAAAGCUCUUUCGGCUGGGAAGAAAUCGCACCCUCUAAUACAGGGUGUGGAUGACGGUACCAGCAUAAGAAGCACCGGCUAACUACGU